UCCUGUGCGCAUACCGCCAGACACAUUGGUUUUAGCUCAUUGUUUAAGUGUCGUUCGGUUCGACAUAAUCGUGCUGUUCAGAAAUCAAAAGUUCACUGAAGUAACGAUGGUGAAGAUUUUCAUCGGCAACCUCUCUCCCAACACCGAGAAAGAUGAAAUCGAAGUUCUGUUCGCCAAGUACGGCAGAGUCACGGAAUGCGCCAAAUACAAAAACUACGCGUUCGUCCACAUGGACGACCGGAAGUGCGCCACCAAGGCCAUCCGUGAGCUCCAUCUGCACAAGCUGGAUGGCAGACCGAUCAACGUGGAGCCCAGCAAAGGCAGGAACCAGGGUCCCGUGAAGCUCCACAUAUCUAAUGUAGAAAGAGGCCAUGAUAAGGAGCUCCGGGAUCGGUUUGAGGAGUACGGUGAAGUCAUAGAGUGUGUCAUCAUUAAGAAUUUUGCCUUUGUACACAUGACCAAUUAUGAUGAGGCCAUGGAUGCUCUGCAGGGUAUGGACAACACCGACUUUAUGGGAAAGCACAUUCACGUUCAGGUAUCAAAAAGCAGGCCGAGAGGGGGUCCUGAGGAGGAAAUGGAGGAUUAUCCACUUCCUCCAGGCGCUGGGGGCUAUUAUCCUCCUCCCUACCCAGGGCCAAGACCUGAGCCCCCCUACAGAGGUCGCAUGUCUGCUUAUCCUCUUCCUCCUCCCCCUCUUCCACCACCCCCUCCCCUGAGACGACCCCCUUAUCUCGACCGAGGCUACGGUGACAGAGAUCCCUACAGUAUGGUGGAUUACUACGAGAAAUACCGAGCCCGUCCUUACAGUGCCGCAAGCUACGAUGACAGGCGUUCCCUCCCCCCUCCCCCGCCUCCUACUUCAACUCUGGCUAGAGCAAGACUUGGAGCGGGGUCCCUUGACCCGUACGAGAGGCGGCCCAUCCCACCACCUCCUCCGUCUUAUGCGAUCAGGGACCGGAGCCCCAUCAGGAGAGUCCUGAUCAGCCCUACUCCUUCGGCUGGUAACGGGUACUACGAGCGCUCUCGGCUGUCACCGGUGUCCAGGGCUCCAGCGUACCCCAUUCCUCGUCCCAGGGAUCCCUAUUCUGAGAGAGCACCACCCCCUCCGCCACCACCUCGCUAUGCUGGAUAUUAGACAACAAGGUUGUUGAACUAUACACAGGAGGUGCUGGCUGUUGGUAAGUUAUCAACAGAAGACGCCCAUGUGAAGGAUUCAGGUAGAUAAUGGGUAAACUCUGCUUCUUAACAACACUUAUCACAAUUACUAAAAUGGAAUAACUUUAAUUUGUAUUGCUCAUUCAGAAAUUGGUCUUUCUAUCAGGAAACUGCAUAAACCUUUGUAAAUGGUUUGACUCUGUUUUUGCUAACAGGUUGAACUUUCCCCUGAAGUGGAAUCAAAGAUUUGUGAGCUGAUGGAAAACAAAUUCUCGCUGUCCUACAUUUUAAGGAUUCAAAAGCACAUGAGAUGACUCGGUCAAUACUGAGAGAGCAGCUGAAGUAGGGGCRGAGAUGCAGAUCAAGCUUGAUGGACAGUUAGUAACAUCGACCAUAGACGACAACUCUUGAAGUUUGAAGACCAAAUUGACCACUUGGACGGUCUUUAUGAAGGUCUYCCUUAUGAUCCUGCUGAAGGCCAGCCCGGCGAUGAAGGACACCGCGAUGAUUCCCAGUGUGUUCAGCACAUCAACGUUCAUGACCGAUAUCUGCAAAGCUGAAUCCGCUGCUGAGAGAACCAUUGAGGAUGUUAGAAAAUUGCUUUUGGUACCUCACCGAUGGUCGUGUUUAUAUCAUUUGAGUCCACAUUCACCAGGGCCUUCAGAGUCUUGUACUGAAAAUAAAAGAAUAAUUUAAUUCAA
RNA transcript from Austrofundulus limnaeus, 1856 nucleotides. It is a transcript of the gene named RNA-binding protein 4B, with no coding region annotated. Lineage: Eukaryota; Metazoa; Chordata; Actinopteri; Cyprinodontiformes; Rivulidae. The record is from RefSeq and is a predicted model, not a curated record. The transcript is spliced from 6 exons.